Small nuclear RNA from Talpa occidentalis (Iberian mole), 102 nucleotides. Lineage: Eukaryota; Metazoa; Chordata; Mammalia; Eulipotyphla; Talpidae. The record is from RefSeq and is a predicted model, not a curated record.
UCACUUUGGCAGCACAUAUGCUAAAAUUGGAACAAUGCAGUGAAGAUUAGCAUUGUCCUUGUAAAGGAUGACAGAAAAAUUUGUGAAGAGUUUCAUACUAAA